CAAGAACAGAACAUGAAGUGAAACUGAUUUUUCAGAAACAGGGAGUUAUAGGAACCAUAUCGGAAGGAGACAUAAAAUACCUAUGAAAAUGGAAAUUAUUUUUUGGCUAACUUUAUAGCAGCUCAGAACAUCCUGCAAAUCCAGACCAUACACAAUAAGUAUUUGAGUGACUCGAAUCCACUAAAAAUUGGGUAUAUUAGAAUCUGGGGUGUGAAUACCUAUGUGACACAAGUCAGUUUCACCUAUGACAACCGGCAAUUUAUGGAGACAAAUUUCAGGAGUGAACCUUAUAAUCAGAUACUAACUAUUCAAUUGACUAACAAGACUAUCAACCUGGAAAAGUUAACUGAGGUUACUUGGAUUGAUGGUGGUCCUGUACUUCCUACUCCAACUAAGACAAGUACCAUCCCAAUGAGUUCUCAUCCUUCUCCAUCUACUACCAAUGCCACCAGUUCUGAGACAAUCACCAGUUCUGCCAGUGCAAAUACUACCACUGGCACUACUGCUACUGUUCCUAUCACAACCACAUCUUUCCCAAGUACUACUAGUGUUACAACUAAUACUACUGUUCCUG
Molecule: long non-coding RNA, 574 nt
Filed under: Pan troglodytes (chimpanzee)
Lineage: Eukaryota; Metazoa; Chordata; Mammalia; Primates; Hominidae
Description: long non-coding RNA NONPTRT015906
Source: RNAcentral